Molecule: transfer RNA, 474 nt
Filed under: Euryhalinema pallustris AP3
Lineage: Bacteria; Bacillati; Cyanobacteriota; Cyanophyceae; Nodosilineales; Nodosilineaceae
Description: filamentous cyanobacterium AP3 partial contains 16S-23S ribosomal RNA intergenic spacer and 23S ribosomal RNA
Rfam family: tRNA (bases 227-299)
Source: RNAcentral
UGCCGCUGGAUCACCUCCCAUCAAAGGAGCCCUACCCCUAAUUCACUUCGAAUAUGCCUUAUAGGAGGAGCUGGAAGGUCAUCCCUAGGUCGUUCGAAGCGGACCAAGAUGGCUUUCAAGCUAGAGUCGAGGGCUAAGAGGCUAUUAGCUCAGGUGGUUAGAGCGCACCCCUGAUAAGGGUGAGGUCCCUGGUUCGAGUCCAGGAUGGCCCACUGGAGAAGCUAGUGGGGGUUUAGCUCAGUUGGUAGAGCGCCUGCUUUGCAAGCAGGAUGUCAGCGGUUCGAGUCCGCUAACCUCCACCACGCAAUCUGCCCUAGAUUGAUGGAAAACGAAGUCAGCAAAGUGUUAGGAAAGAUUAACAUUCUGCUAGUUCCACUUGAAAUGCUCAGUUAGAACCUUGAAAACUGCUAGAGAUGUCAUUCCAAAGGUUCUUUGACAUCAAUAUUUAUGAAUAUGGUCAAGCUACAAAUGGCU